Molecule: long non-coding RNA, 221 nt
Filed under: Capsicum annuum
Lineage: Eukaryota; Viridiplantae; Streptophyta; Magnoliopsida; Solanales; Solanaceae
Description: long non-coding RNA (CANN_LNC015914)
Source: RNAcentral
UUCACUCGCGAAUACCAGAAAGAAUAACCAAAAAUACUCCAUCCAUCAUCGGGGCUCACUGUUCUAGUAAACCAGCUUUGAUUCUACCCCCUAAACUCCAAAAUCAGCAACCAAAAAACCGAUCCAUUAUUUCGAUUCAGUCGACUCCCACAGGAAAACAACAAUAGCCAGUUGACCACCACCCAUGUCCUUCCACCUCGCUAGAAAAUGUGACCUGACUA